RNAcentral lists this non-coding RNA (131 nucleotides) under Chloroflexota bacterium. Its description in RNAcentral is "Chloroflexi bacterium SAM-I sequence". It matches the Rfam family "SAM riboswitch aptamer (S box leader)". Rfam says of the family: The SAM riboswitch is found upstream of a number of genes which code for proteins involved in methionine or cysteine biosynthesis in Gram-positive bacteria. The SAM riboswitch acts at the level of transcription termination control. Lineage: Bacteria; Bacillati; Chloroflexota. The record is from RNAcentral.
CUUUCAUCCAGAGAGGCUGAGGGAACGGCCCGAUGACGCCUCGGCAACCGGCGGAGACCCGCAGCGGUGCCAAUUCCGACCCAGGGGUAGGGACCCCUGAUGGGGCAGGGGCCCCAGGGGAAAGAUGGGAG